UAAAAAGCACAAAAUUUUGAAAGGAAACAAAAAAUAUUUUAAAAAUAUGCAAGAAAAUUGGGAGGGAGCAAGGUGGGAAAAUAAGGAUGAUAGAAUACUGUGGAAUGGAUUAUUUUUGCAAGCUUUUCUAUAUCUGUGGAGAGAGGCAGGAACAGAAUGUUUUCUAUACUCAUUAAUCAAUUGCAAACAAAUGUGUGUGUGAUCCCGACAUGAAUGACAUCAGUUCAUCAUACUUUAACAUCUUGGUAAUGUCUACUGUGGAAUCUGUGUAAAUUGUGUUAAGCUGGGUCCACACUGCUCAUGUUCAUACUCGUUUCAACUCAUCAAGCAUUAGGUCAGGCUUGUAUAGUGUACAUCCACACUGGCAUUAGUUGUUCUCAAGCUUCUGGCUCAGUAGGAGCUGACAAUGGAUUAUGAAGUAAAAAUAGGAAGCCAUUAAUAGAAAACUCACACUUGCUAUGCUUUUUUUUUUUACAACUUUAUAUAAAUUUGUGAGUGCUAUCCCACAGAUUUAUAAAAUGGAUGAUUACAUCAUUUGACCAUUCCAUAUUAUCAAUACAAGCAAUAGAUGAUUAAAUAAUAAAUAAUACUUAAUCAGAGCCCCUCCAGAUUUUUUAAUCAAGCGCAACCAGCCCACUGAACUACAACCUCAUUCCUGUCUACAAUGCCUGCACAACUCUUGAGCUCCUCUCAUGUACUGACGACAAGCAGAUCCCCGUGAGCCUCAGGCUUGUGCUGCUCGCCUGGCUUGUUUCGUGACUUUUCUCCCCAUCCACAUUACUUGCAAGCCCAACAAGUUAGUUAAGUACGAACAUGAAUAAUGUGGACCCAGCUUUAGAGAGAUAUCUCAAAUCAUUCAGAACUGCAUCAAGUUUGAUUGUCCUCAUCUGUAAUGGGAAGAAGGGGAGAGAUGAAUGCUUGAAUUACAUAAGUUUACUGAAUAUGGCCAGAAAGGUAUUUGAUAAGAUUGAUGAGAAUGUAUGGAUUGUCACAAUUAUACAAAGAGAACCCAAAGUGUUUCUACAUUGAGGAAGAGGGUAUUUUGCACAUUUUUGAAUCCUGAGAAAACAUAUGACUGAAUGAGUAGAAGUAUAGAAUGAUGUGAAUGAAUGGCUGGUUGGGGUAGUGAAAGCAAAGUAUGCUAAGAACUAUUCACUUUUGCACUUGCAAAGAUACAUUAGAAUGGUGUGUAAUUGAGGAAGAGAUAUCCUUGGGAUGUUUAAUUUGUACAUAGAUGCAUGUUUGAGUGAAUUAGGUAUGAAGAUGGGUGAGGUGAAUGACUUAAUUCACAACAGAGCAUAAAGUGCUUCAUUCAAUCAUGUAACAAGCAGUGAGAAUAAUCAAAAAUGCAUGUGUUUGAGAAGGAUGAGAACAAAAAAAGUUUGAGAGUGAACUGAAUGGGGUUUUCCUGGAACAAGUAAUGAAUUUAUAUACUUGGAAAAUAUGUUUGCUAUCAAUACUUCUUUUCUCUUUCUAAGUUAUUAGAAGAGUAAAUACUAGAUUGAAAGCUGUGUGUGCACUUGGAAAGUAUACUAGGAAUAAGAAGCUGUCAAAAAAUGCUGGAAUGGCUGAGUUUGACAAUAUUGGUUAGUCUCAACAUUGAUUUAUGGGAAUAAUGGUUUGAAAGGUAGAUAGAAAAACAACUGAAUGCAAGAGAGAUGAGAUACUUGAAAGGUGUUGUUAGAGUAAUUCAAAUGACAAAACACAAAAGGAACAUAAUAGAUGAGAGUGCAAAUCAACUUUGAGAUGGUUUGGUUUAACGAACAAGUGAAGACUAAGUGACUGUAUAUUAAAUAUGCGAUUGAUAAGUGGAAGAGGAAGGUCAAAGAGAAAAAGCAAAGAACAAGUGGAUGAAUAUUUGAGGAUGUAUAGGGUUUGAGUAUAAGAGGAGAGUGAUUAUAAAAGAAUCUGGUAUAGUGUAUAGGAAUAGGGAUGUAUGGUGCUGUCUAAUCAGUGAUGUAUGAGAAGUUUUGUAAUUUAACCACUGACCAUCCUCUUACAAGUUUGUGAACAUUGUCCUAUUAUGCAAUAUCAUCAUCAUCAUUUAUAUGGAAAAC
This 2057-nucleotide long non-coding RNA is filed under the name Androctonus crassicauda. The record is from RNAcentral. Lineage: Eukaryota; Metazoa; Arthropoda; Arachnida; Scorpiones; Buthidae.